CGCGUAGGUGGCUUGUCAGGUCCGGUGUGAAAUCCUGGGGCUCAACUCCAGGCGUGCAUCGGAAACCGGCUUGCUAGAGUCUGGGAGAGGAGAGUGGAAUUCCUGGUGUAGCGGUGAAAUGCGUAGAUAUCAGGAGGAACACCGGUAGCGAAGGCGGCUCUCUGGAACAGUACUGACACUGAGGCGCGAAAGCUAGGGGAGCAAACA
Molecule: ribosomal RNA, 207 nt
Filed under: uncultured bacterium
Lineage: Bacteria
Description: partial 16S ribosomal RNA
Rfam family: Bacterial small subunit ribosomal RNA
Source: RNAcentral